This 253-nucleotide ribosomal RNA is filed under the name uncultured bacterium. RNAcentral describes it as "partial 16S ribosomal RNA". It matches the Rfam family "Bacterial small subunit ribosomal RNA", at positions 524 to 776 of the family's 1533-position model. The record is from RNAcentral.
UACGUAGGCAGCGAGCGUUGUUCGGAGUUACUGGGCGUAAAGGGCGCGUAGGCGGGUACUUAAGUCAGAGGUCAAAUCCCAGGGCUCAACCCUGGAACUGCCUUUGAUACUGGGUACCUAGAGUUCGGGAGAGGUGUGUGGAACUCCGAGUGUAGAGGUGAAAUUCGUAGAUAUUCGGAAGAACACCAGUGGCGAAGGCGACACACUGGCCCGAUACUGACGCUGAGGCGCGAAAGCGUGGGGAGCAAACAGG